Molecule: long non-coding RNA, 686 nt
Filed under: Olea europaea subsp. europaea
Lineage: Eukaryota; Viridiplantae; Streptophyta; Magnoliopsida; Lamiales; Oleaceae
Source: RNAcentral
AAAUAUGAAAUUCAUUAAUAAAUUUAAAAAAUGUAGUACAAUUAAUAGAAAUACAAUAACUAAGAAAAUUAAUCAUAAUACUAAAAAAGAGUUUAAUACCUUUUGAAUCGCAAUAUCAUGAUACUACAAAGUUGAAAUAGUAUUCACAAGUAAUUAUUAUUGAAUAAAUGGAUAAAAUUUAUUACAAAUGUACAUGAUGAUGAUGAUGAUGAUGAUGAUGAUGAUGAUGAUGAUGAUAAUAAUAAUAAUAAUAAAAUUUAGAAUUAAAAUUUAUUGUAUAACAAAUGGACAAAUAUACCCUUAAAAAAUUGAUGCAAAAUGGAAGAUGAUGUUAAAAAGAUAAAAUGGUGCAAAUGAAUUUGAUGCAAUUUGGUGAAUUAUGGUGCAAUGGAAUGGGGUUAGAGAUGCUCUUAUAUCUUCUUUGUGAGAACCACCAGAUUAAGGCCUGACACCAUUUGUCAAUGUCACGAAGGUUGAAAUGGUAAUUUAGACUAACGUUAUAAUUACGUUUAAAUUUUAUUUAGCUAGACUUUUUUCCAGAGCGAAGCCCAACUUCUUAUAUAUUGGCUCCUUUAAUUGAUUUAUUUGCUAAGAAAAUUGAGUUCAUGUUUGGGUUCCAUUUUCCAAAAAAUACUUUUUUUUUUCAAAGAGAAAAAUUCAUAUUUCAAGUAUUAAGUAUAUGCCAG